This 504-nucleotide ribosomal RNA is filed under the name uncultured bacterium. RNAcentral's name for it is "partial 16S ribosomal RNA". It matches the Rfam family "Bacterial small subunit ribosomal RNA", at positions 28 to 506 of the family's 1533-position model. The record is from RNAcentral.
GACGAACGCUGGCGGCGUGCCUAAUACAUGCAAGUAGAACGCACAGUUUAUACCGUAGCUUGCUACACCAUAGACUGUGAGUUGCGAACGGGUGAGUAACGCGUAGGUAACCUGCCUGGUAGCGGGGGAUAACUAUUGGAAACGAUAGCUAAUACCGCAUAAUAUUGAUUAUUGCAUGAUAAUUAAUUGAAAGGUGCAAUUGCACCACUACCAGAUGGACCUGCGUUGUAUUAGCUAGUAGGUGAGGUAACGGCUCACCUAGGCGACGAUACAUAGCCGACCUGAGAGGGGGAUCGGCCACACUGGGACUGGGACCGGGCCAAGGCUCCUGAGGGGGGGAGCAGAAGGGAAUCUUCGGCAAUGGAGGAAAAUCUGGCCGAACAACGCCGCGUGGGUGAAAAAGGUUUUGGGAGCGAAAAGCUCUGUUGUAAGAGAAAAACGGGUGUGGGAGGGGAAAGUUCCCACGGGGGGGGGAUUUUACAAGAAAGGGAGGGUAAAUUCCGG